AGCAGCAGCCGCGGGAAUACGAAGGGUGCAAGCGUUAAUCGGAAUUACUGGGCGUAAAGCGUGCGUAGGCGGUGAGUUAAGUCUGCUGUGAAAUCCCCGGGCUCAACCUGGGAAUGGCAGUGGAUACUGGCUCGCUAGAGUGUGUCAGAGGAUGGUGGAAUUCCCGGUGUAGCGGUGAAAUGCGUAGAGAUCGGGAGGAACAUCAGUGGCGAAGGUGGCCAUCUGGGACAACACUGACGCUGAGGCACGAAAGCGUGGGGAGCAAACAGGAUUAGAUACCCCUGUAGUCCCUGUCUCUUAUAC
Molecule: ribosomal RNA, 303 nt
Filed under: uncultured bacterium
Lineage: Bacteria
Description: partial 16S ribosomal RNA
Rfam family: Bacterial small subunit ribosomal RNA
Source: RNAcentral